AGGGCUGAGCUCCCUGGCUGGUGUCACAGAGCCAAGAGAGGUCUGCUGGGAGUGGGCAGCUCUGAGCUCAACCCUAGGCUCUGAGAGCCCACCCUCUGCUCCCCACUUCCCCACGCCACCCACCUCCUGUCACCUCCUACAGGCUUUGUCCCAGGAGAGGAAGACGCCCAGGGGCACGGAACAGCCCCCAGCCAAAGCAGGAUGCCUGGGGUAACCCAGUAUCGGCUGGCCUGGUACCUGGAGGUGAUGAGGGACAAAGACCUGGAGGAGUUUCAGCUUCGGCUGUCUUAUAAGGAACCAUACACGCCCUGUCCCAGUGCAAACCUGGCUCAACCCCAGGAGACAAGAGGAAUGGAGGUGGCCUCACGCCUGGUGGCCCAGUAUGGGGAACAGCAGGCCUGGGACCUGGCCCUCCACACCUGGGAGCAGAUGGGCCUGAGCGAGCUCUGCACCAAGGCCUGGGCAGAGGCAGCCUUGAUGCCAGCAGCCCAGUCUCCUUCAUUUCUCUACUCCCCGAGUACACCCAACCUGGAAGGCCCCAGCCAGCCCACCUCUGCCAUGAUGCAGAGGUUCCAGGGCCUGGAUCACCCAGGGCUCAUCCAGGACUCAGACAUAAGGAAUUUGGGAUACGUGAGUGACACAUCUGCACACAGCUGGAAAGAAAACCCUUUCUCAUUCAUCUGCCAAGUUUGUCCAACACCCCCAGACCAUGAAUCGCCAAGCCAAGAGUUACCCCAAUCCCCUAUAUCCACAGUGGUUCAGGGGGUCUGGGAGUCCCCACUUCAGCCCAGCCCAGAACCCAGAAAAAAAGAGGCUCCUGAGAGUAGGUGGCCUCUGGCUGGAACAUCUGGAAACCACUGCACAGAAAUCAGAGAUAGAUACCAGCACCAGAGGAGAGAGAGGCCCUGCUCUACACAGUCAUGGAAAAAUGAUGAUUUGCACCAAAACUUCACACAGCUGCUACUUCUACACAGAUCUCACCCCAGAGAUCACAAGUCCCUGGUCAAAGGAAGCUGGCACCAUGGAAUGAUGGAGAAGCAAGGGCAUUUGAUUGAGAUCGGAGACUUAUUUGGCCCAGCCCUGGGUAACCAGGAAGAGCCUCACGUAGUCGUACUGCAUGGGGUUGCUGGAAUUGGGAAGUCAACCCUGGCCAGACAGGUGAAAGGAGCCUGGGAAGAAGGUCGGCUAUACAGGGACCGCUUCCAGUGUGUCUUCUACUUCAGCUGCAGAGAGCUGGCCCAGUCUAAGGCAAUGAGUCUCACCGAGCUCAUCACAAAAGACUGUGCUGCCCCCGAGGCUCCCAUUAGACAGAUCCUGUCUCAGCCGGAGCAGCUGCUCUUCAUCCUCGAUGAUUUGGAUGAGCCAAAAUGGGUCUUGGAGGAGCAGAAGUCCGAGCUCUGUCUGCACUGGAGCCAGCAACAGCCAGUACACAGACUGCUGGGAAGUUUGUUGCAGAAAACCAUUCUUCCAGAGGCAUCCUUGCUGAUCACAGCUCGGACCACGGCUCUCUGGAAGCUCAUUCCUUCUUUGGAGCAGCCACGUUGGGUGGAGGUCCUAGGAUUCUCUGAGUCUGGCAGGAAGGAGUAUUUCUACAAAUAUUUCAAGGAGGAAAGUCAAGCAAUCAGAGCCUUUAGCUUGGUUGACUCAAACCCAGCCGUCUUGACCAUGUGUCUCAUGCCAUUCGUGUGCUGGCUGGUCUGCACUUGCCUGAAGCGGCAGAUGGAGAGGAGAGAAGAACUCUCACUGACGUCCCAGACCACCACGGCCGUCUGUCUGCACUACCUCUCCCAGGCACUCCCAGCUCAGUCCCGUAGAACCCAGCUGAGGGGCUUCUGCUCUCUGGCUGCUGAGGGCAUCUGGCAAGGGAAGAGCCUGUUCAGUCUGGAGGACCUCAGGAAGCACGGGUUACAUGGGGCCAACAGCUCCACUCUCCUGGAGACGGGUAUUCUUCAAAAGUAUCCCAACUCUCUGAGCUACAGCUUCAUUCACCUGUGUCUCCAGGAGUUCUUUGCAGCAAUGUCCUGUGUGUUGGGGGAGGAGGGACAGGAGAGUGAAUAUCCAAACAGCAUCAGACGUGUGGAAAAGUUGCUAGAAAUAUGUGGGAGACGUGACCUGUUUGGGGCACCAACCAUGUGUUUCCUGUUCGGCCUUUUGAGUGAGCAGGGGGUACAAGAGAUGGAGAACAUCUUCAACUGCCAGCUGUCUCGGGAGAGGAAGUGGGAGCUGCUGCGGUGGGCAGAGGCAGAGGCCCAGCACGAGCCCUCCUCCUGGCAGCCCUACUAUCCGCAGCUGCUCCGUUGCUUAUAUGAGAUUCAGGACAAGGAGUUUCUGACACGAACAAUGGCCCAUUUCCAAGGUGCAAAAAUGUAUGUCCAAACCAGCAUGGAGCUCCUGGUGUUCACUUUCUGCAUUAAAUUUUGCUGCCGUGUGAAGAGGCUUCAACUGAAUGAGGGUGGACAGCAUGCACAAGUGUGGAGGCCCCCAAGUGUAGUUCUGUUCAGCUGGGUCCCCAUCACAGAUGCCUGCUGGAAGGUUCUCUUCUCCACUCUCCGGGUCACUGGGAACCUUCAGGAGCUGGACCUGAGUGGAAAUUUCCUGAACUACUGUGUAGUACAGAGUCUUUGUGAAGCCCUGAGAUACCCUCACUGCCACCUGGAGACACUGAGGUUGGCCAGCUGUGGGCUCACGGCUGAAGGCUGCAAAGACCUCGCAUCUGGGCUGGGUGCCAGCCAAACCCUGACCAAGCUGGAGCUGAGCUUCAACAUGCUCACAGAUGCUGGCGUUGAGCACCUCUGCAUGGAGCUGAGGCAGCCAGGCUGCAAGCUCCAGCAGCUGCUGCUGGUCAGCUGCUGCCUCACGUCCAGUUGCUGCCAGGACCUGGCCUCUGUGCUCAGCGCCAGCCCCAGCCUGACAGAGCUGGACCUGCGGCAGAAUGACCUGGACGAUGUCGGCGCGACGCUGCUCUGCCAAGGGCUCAGGGACCCUGCCUGCCAACUCACGCUCCUGCAGCUGGACCAGACCCAGCUGAGUGAGGAGGUGACAGAGAUGCUGAGGGCCCUGGAGGAGGAGAAGCCUCGGCUGCUCAUCUCCAACAGAUGGAAAACAAGUGCUCCUGAAGAGGACCCAGGUGGAGAAGAAAAGAGUGACACAUCUUCACUCAAGCGGCAGAGACUAAAAUCAGAGGGAAGCUCCCCUCAAGUAGCACAGGUGGAACCCUUCUGCCUGUCGUCUCUUGCGCCUCCUGGGGACCCACACAAGGAGCCUCUGGGGACUGAAGAUGACUUCUGGGGCCCCACGGGGCCUGUGGCUACCAAGGUGGUUGACAAAGAGAGAAGCCUAUACCAAGUGCGCUUCCCUGUGGCCGGCUCCUACCACUGGCCCAACACAGGUCUCCAGUUUGUGGCAAAAGGGCCAGUGACCAUCGAGAUUGAAUUCUGUGCCUGGGACCAGUUCCUGGACAGAUCUGCCCCACAGAACAGCUGGGUGCCUGCAGGGCCUCUUUUUGACAUCAAGGCCGAGCCAGGAGCCCUGGCGGCUGUGUACCUCCCUCACUUUGUGUCCCUCCAAGGAAGCCAUGUGGACAUCAGCCUGUUCCAAGUGGCCCACUUUAAAGAGGAGGGGAUGCUCCUGGAGAAGCCAGCAAGGGUGGAGCCCUGUUACAUAGUCCUGGAAAACCCCAGCUUCUCCCCCGUGGGCGUUGUACUGAGAGUGAUCCAUGCCGCCCUGCGCUUCAUCCCCAUCACUGCCACCGUACUGCUCUACCAUCACCUCCAUCCUCAGGAAGUCACCUUCCACCUCUACCUGAUCCCCAGUGACUGCUCCAUUCGGAAGGCCAUAGAUGAUGAAGAAAAGAAAUUCCAGUUUGUGCGAAUACACAAGCCACCCCCACUGACCUCCUUCUACAUGGGCUCCCGUUACACUGUGUCUGGUUCAGAGAAACUGGAAAUAAUCCCCAAGGAACUAGAGCUCUGCUAUCGGAGUCCUGGAGAAUCCCAGCUCUUCUCUGAGUUCUACACUGACCAGUUGGCGUCAGGGAUCAGGUUGCAAAUAAGAGACAAGAAAAAUGGGGCUGUGGUAUGGGAAGCCUUGGUGAGACCAGGAGAUCUCAGACCGGCAGCCACUCUGGUCCCUCCAGCCCUAAUAGAUGCCCCAGUCUUGCUGCACUUCGUGGACAAGUAUCGGGAGCAGCUGGUGGCUCGAGUGACAUCAGUGGACCCUGUCCUGGACAAGCUACACGGACAAGUGCUGAGUGAGGAGCAGUAUGAGAGGGUGCGGGCUGAGGCCACAAAGCCAGGCCAGAUGCGCACCCUGUUCAGCUUCAGCAGGUCCUGGAACAGGGCCUGUAAAGAUCAACUCUACCGAGCCCUGAGGGAGACCCAUCCUCAUCUAAUUGUGGAGCUCUGGGAGAAGUGGAGUGGUGGAGACUGGGGCGCUCCUGACAAGCCUGGCAGCUGAAGUCUGAACACCUUUUUGUGAGUCCUGGCUCUGCCUGACUGUUCUUCGGGUCUCCAUUUCUUCAUCUAUAAACAAGCUGCCGUCAGUUGCCUCCUGGCUCUAAGGUUACAGGACUCGAAUGAUGCCUCUUGGCUUCCACAGGCCACCUGUCCAGGUGGGAUGAUGGCUGCUCAGGGAACAUCCACCUGGGCCAGCAGGACUUCUGCAGACCUUGUUGAAGCCUGACCCAAGAGCCUAGUCUGGUGACCACAGCAGCUAAGCCUAGAGCCCGCCCUGUGCCAGGCAGAUGCAAGGAGGGGUAGGGGACGCUGGCCACCUCUGGCUGGAGACCAUGGAAACGGAUACCUUGGGGGUGUUGAAUGGCUUGUGAAUAGUGGCAAGAACAGAUCUGUUUUUCACUUGUCCAUGUUGAGCUUAUGUUUUUACUAGUUCAAACUGUGCUUUGUUGCUUCUAAAGUCUAGGUGGAUUCCUAGAGCCAGGAGAGGGGAAAAAGGAGGAGGUCACAAAGGGAAAGGAGUCUAGGUCUUAGCUCAGAUGUCUCCUCCUGCAGAGUGACUCUGCACCCUUACGCCUGACUUGGGCCCUGCGGUCCUGUAGCACCUCUGUCCCCCCACACUACUCAGCACAUGGCAUUGUCCCUCCUACUUCACUGCCGGCCUCCCCCCACUGGAAGGUAAGCUCCCCGAGGGCAGGAGCCAUGUCUGAGGGGCUCGCCCAUUUAGUCUCAGGGCCUAGCACAGUGCCUGGCUUGUGGUGGGUAUUAAGGGUUAUUAAUAGGCAGAUGGUAAAGGAACUCUCCCCAGAGACAUGUUCAUUCCCUUCCUGGCCACCAUACCAUCCUCGUGAUACUGUGGACCAUCCUAGCAACAACCUCCACAUUAGUGGGCCACCCCACGGCCCCAGUGAAUGAGUAAUCUUAGAAUUGAACUCACUGGUAUUGAAACAUUUAUACCAAUGUUGUUCUCACCUCAGGAGAGCAAAGCCUCACUCAUGCUACCCCAAGAUCGAGAAGCACAGGUUGAUUGGAUCUCCCUCCCACUGAGUCACCCCCCCGCUCAGAGUCACUUCCCCCUGCUGUCCCCUUGGGACCACACCACUGCCCUUACUUUCAACCACAUGGCCCUGCAGAGUGUCUUCUAAGGCCUCCCUGGCCCAGACGGUUGUUUGGAAGGUUAAAUGAGAUUAUGUGUGUACGUGCUUCGAUCUGUGAUCAGCACAAAGUUAAGUAUGCGAUCAGUGGUAGGUAUGAUCUCUUGCUGUCACCGCUCACUGGGUGGGUGAGAUAGGUCAGAGUAUCUCCUCAACCUCCCACAACUACCCCAAAAGAGGAUUCAAUAGGGCUAGUGCACAAAUGCUAAAACACGUGAAAAGGGAAGGGCCCACACCUGUGGCCUCAAUACCAGGUACUGCAUAAGCAGGUGCAGAGGGACCCAUUGACUCUCUGGCUCAGGCCACACUACUAACUUGCUCACUAGAGCUGGCUGGCUGUCAGGAUCAUCCUCUGGAGAGGCAAGUGCUCCCAAACUUUUGUAUCCCAACUCUUAGAGCUGUCUGGUAAUGGAAGUGGAGCCUAGCGGGACACCCAUACAUCCUGAGAAGGCUGUUCUCUUCUAAGAUCUUGGUAACUGUGGCUGCUUUCUGGUCCCAAAUAAAAUAGAUAAGCUUGUGCAGAAAGCAUGCAACUGUCAGGACUGCACCCAAAACGCUGGCUCUCCAUGACUUUAAUAACAAGAAAGCUUGCACAAUGACCUUGCUGAUUUGAACAGAAGCCAGAUCAGCGGCCUGUUGUCGGCAGUUUUCUGCUGAAUGUGGCAGGUAUAUAACUUGAUUCUAGAUUUGAUGUCCUCAGCUAUUUUUUAAAAGAAAAAAUAUGUAUGCCAUAUUUGUCUUAGACUUUGUUUCUUCUCCAAAUGGCUAGUGCCCUAUUGUAAGUCCCCAGAAGCAUGAGAGAAUACUGUCAGGACAAAACUAUUCACUUCUGUCACCUUGCUCCGGCAUCCCCUUGCACGGACCAGCGUCCAUUCAUUGAUUCUAGUAUGCGCCAUUCUCAAGGUAAAGUCCAGAUUCCCCUAGAGGAAGCUCUGAUCCUCUCCCCCAGGAAACUGCAGGUGGAGCCUGACAGCUCAAAGCCUCCCCAAGGCCCUGUCCUCCAGGUUUUAGCUCCCCAGCUGGUGCUGUGACAAUAGUAGAGUCAUGGCAGGCAGGCCGUCUGGGGGCAGCUUCCCACUUCCUGCCAUGCCAUCGCUAGAGUGCCUGACCUUUGGGGAAACUCACACAACUCUCACUCCCUUGCUGAGGGUCUGAGGGUAUUUUCAAUAGCCCAAGGGUGUAUUCAAAGGCAUCCUUGAACCUGAACCCAGACAUGUGCAAACACUGAAGUUACAGUCUGCUAGUGCAGCCACUGUCCCCACCCUAUUCUAAAAGUGUUAUAUGUGGAAAUCAUUAAACUUAAGGACAACUCUUUAUUUUUCAGGGUUCUCCAGAGAAAUAGAACCCAUAGGAUGUGUUAUAGGGAGAGAUUUAUUUGAAGGAACUUGAUUAUGGAGGUUGGCAUAUCCAAAAUCUGCAGGGUCAGGCUAGAGACCCAGCAAAGAGCCUGUUGAAACUGCAGUGCAACUCGGAAAGAAAGCUAUCUGCCACAAGAAUUCCCUCCUGCUCAGUCUUUUGUUCUAGUCAGGCCUUCAACAGAUCGGAUGAGGCUGGUGGAGGGCAAUCUGCUUUAUUCAAAGUCCAUUCAUUGAAAUGUUCAUCUCAUCCAAAAACACCCUCCCAGAAAUAGCCACAAUGAUGUUUAACCAAAUAUCUGGAUACUGUGGCCCAGUCAAGUCGAUACAUACAAUUAACCAUAACAAACCCUAUGAUGGAGACUCCUAUGAUCCUCAUCUUACAAAGAAACUGAGGCAGAGAGAUGUUAAGGAACAUCCCUAAAGUCUCACAGAGAGCAAGUGGUAGAGUUGGGAUUCAGCCCCUGCUAAGCUGGCUCCAUAGCCCACCCUCCUACCUACCACACAGGUGCCUGUCUGAUAAGUGGCUCACUGUCAUUCUAGACAUGGACAUUCCCAGGACGUGGAGCUGAGAACAUAAAUUUGGAAGUAGGACAUCCUUACUGUCAGACAGACUCCAGCUGCCCACAUAGGCUUCUGUUCCUCUUUCCAGGCCUGAAAUUAUUCUCUUAAAUUCCCUAUGGCACCCACUGAAUUCCAAUAAAUCCUAUUUUUUUUAAACUGGUGGGAUGUAGCCAGCUGGUAAAAGCAGAGCUGUCUUCAAGCUCUGUAUUCUGCUCCACUUGUGAUCACCUGUGCCAAUGUACUUUACCAAAGUCUGACAAAAAUGGCUUCGGUGUGGGGACCAGACCCACAUAUCCCACAAGGGAGAGGUCCAGAUACCCCAAGAUUAACCACUUCCCAGGACAGUUAUGGUGGGACUGCCCAUUCCUUCAGAGGAGCCGCCCUCACCUCUGCUUAAAGAUGCAGGCAUGUUUGGGGACUGGGUCCCUUCAGCACAGGCAGGAACUAUUUGUCGUUUCAAAUAACAAAGAUAGAUUGUUAGGCCCAGGCAUCCUUGAAAUACCAUGGAUAAGGAAAAGCUGGGCUGUGAAGUUGGGGUAUGUAAUGUCAGUGUACACUGUGAUGGUGUAUGUGUGUGUCCUGGUGUCAUGGGCAGCAGCCCUGUGGGAGAGGAGUGUAAUGGACACUCCGUGGGAUGCCUGCUCAGCCCUCCCUUUUUCAGAAAGCCCCCCCACCGCCACAGCCAGGCUAAACUGUAGCAGAAAUAGCCAUGCUUGUACAACUGACCCUCUCUUCCUAGCCCCAGCAGAUGAGCCACAGAGAAGUUAGCAGGGGCUAGUUUCUGGCAAUAAUAGAGAAAGCCAGGUUGUAGUAGGAAAGCAACUGAAGCAGAUGGGAGAGAGAAGCAGGGAAGAGGGAUGGAGACCAUACAUGACCUGGAAUGCCCAGGCUUCCAGUUGCUGCUUCCAGAGUUGCCAAAGCCAUGAUCCAUCUGAACCCUUGUAUCCUAUGAGACAUUCUGCUUCCUUAUAGUUUCCCUUUUUUGCUUUAGUUCCAAUGUCUUUUCUGUUGUUUGCAACCAGUCCUACAAAAAACACUGCUUUCAGUCUCUUUUGGAAUAAGACAGGAACUUAAUGAAUUUAAUGCCUUUCCGGUGUCCCUUAAAUCUCUACUCCCUCUCAAAAAUGCAGUAUAUCCAGCUUCUCCUUAUAACAUCAACUCUGGGUUCUAUUGACUCCUGGUUAUCUGGGCCCCAAAUGGGGCACUAUCAGAGCAUGACCUCCCCACCACCCUAUUAUUAGGGGUCAGCAGGCCUUUGCAUAUUAUGAAACAGCAUUCUUAAACUGGGGACAGCAAGGCAGAAUGCUGGGUAGACAGGGACCCUAAGGUUGAGGAAUAUGGGGAAGACGUUAGAAUUUAGAGAUGUGUUGAACUGUGAGUUAAUGCAAAGGAGCAGCCCAGGGAGCUUUUGAGUUCUAAUGGAAAGACAAGAAUAGACCACUGGGAAGGCAGAAGGCCUGCUGUUAGGAGAAAAGAGGCAAGAAGGGGCAUGAAAGCAUGAGCCUAGACACUGAUGGGUCAAUAGAAAGAGAAAGGCCAAUUGGAAGGACUCUGGUCCUGUGAGGCUGGGCACUACUGCUUAAAGCCUGAGUGUGAGCAGCCAUGUCCUAGAAUUUUCUCAAUAGCCUUUGCUCCCAGGGGCACCUAGGCCCUUUCUGAAUAGACCAGCCAAUCCAUUGGGAGACAUGGUCUGACCAGCACCGAGAUCCCUGUCUUUGCUCAAAGGUAGGUCCUCAGUCCUCCCUAAGUGGGCAGCUUCAGCCCCUGGGAGUGCAAAAAGAGCUCAGAGCUGAUCUUUGUGCAGAGAAAAGAGCUUUAUUGCUCCUGCUCCAAGACGAUUUCUACACUAUACAGUGCCAUUGGGAUACAAUCCUGGCAAUAUCCACAAGCCUCCAGCCUCUGAUAUACCUGCCUCAUAUGCAUCCCUUAACAAUUCCUCCCAGCACAAUUAGCUAAUAAGAUGAUCCAUUAGUAGUCCCCUCCACCCACACCCUCCUUAGGCAAAACCCUACAUCCCCACUACUUCGGCCAGUAGGCACAGGGCAGAUUCAACCAAUGUUUGCUUUAUUUAAGUAAUGAAUGAAUUCUCAAGUGAGGACAUUCUUCAAAAAGUUGUAUAAAUUAUCCCCCACCCCUACUCCUCCCACCUGUUCCCACUGCUUCCAUAAAAGCCGCAGGUACUCUUCCCCUCUGCGCUAUUGACCUCUUUUCCCCUCCUGUGGCCUCCUGCAGCAGAAACACCACCUUGCACCUUAGCUAUUUUAGUGCUGAACAAGAGAUCUCUCGAAUUUCAGUGUCUAAGCCUCCGGGUUUCUCCCCACAGUAUAAGCUUGCCUCCACAGUCCCAGAUGACAACCCUCUGGUGGACCCCACCCACGCCCUGCAUUCUGCGCAGCACUCCAGCUACGGGCCUGCAUGCCGAGAGGUCUGCAGUUGUGGGUCCCAUGCCAUCCAGGACACGUAUGGAACGUAGCCUCCUGGCAGGACAGCUCCUCACGGCCCGGCUUGCAGUGGCAGCAAAGCCUAGAGCAUACAGUCCAAGUCAGCUCAAGCUCCUGGGGGCGCAUCCCGUUACCCGGACAAACUCCACGCACCGUGUCCCGCGCUCCAGCAGCGUCCGUGGCACUCUGGCUCUCUGGGCUCUGCACCAGCGUAGGGACACAGCUGCCUCCUCCUGGGUGCAUCAUCACAGGGCUCCGGCCCAGACCAGGACCAGAGCGCCGACUCUCCCCGUGGGGUGCUCUCUGAACCGCCCAGGUCUGGCUCAUCCCUGGGAGACCUCGAACCCAGCCACAGACUUGCAGACAGCACAGGAAAACAAAGGGACGCAAAGACUCCAACGACUGAGAGCGAGCGGCCAAAGGGGUCUCUACUGUCCACGGUCCCCAAGCUCACAACCCUAGGCCCUGCCAUCAAAGGGGCUACGGUUCUUGAGGCUACCUCUAAGGCUACCCCCACACACCCUGUUCCACGCGGACCAACAAACACGUUGGGUGAUGCAAGGACAUUCCCCAACUCACAAAACAUUUGAGUGCACAAAAAUAUACGAUGCAGCAGCAACCCCAAAUAAAGUGAGCGGACAUGUU
This is a non-coding RNA of Manis javanica (Malayan pangolin), 10610 nucleotides long. The record is from RefSeq and is a predicted model, not a curated record. Lineage: Eukaryota; Metazoa; Chordata; Mammalia; Pholidota; Manidae.